RNAcentral lists this ribosomal RNA (210 nucleotides) under uncultured bacterium. Its description in RNAcentral is "partial 16S ribosomal RNA". It matches the Rfam family "Bacterial small subunit ribosomal RNA", at positions 524 to 733 of the family's 1533-position model. The record is from RNAcentral.
UACAGAGGUCUCAAGCGUUGUUCGGAUUCAUUGGGCGUAAAGGGUGCGUAGGCGGCGCGGUAAGUCGGGUGUGAAAUCUCGGAGCUUAACUCCGAAACUGCAUUCGAUACUGCCGUGCUUGAGGACUGGAGAGGAGUACUGGAAUUUACGGUGAGCGGUGAAAAUGCGUAGAUAUCGUAAGGAAGACCGUGGCGAAGGCGGGUCUCUGGA